RNAcentral lists this ribosomal RNA (303 nucleotides) under uncultured bacterium. RNAcentral's name for it is "partial 16S ribosomal RNA". It matches the Rfam family "Bacterial small subunit ribosomal RNA", at positions 507 to 807 of the family's 1533-position model. The record is from RNAcentral.
AGCAGUAGCCGCGGUAAUACGGAGGGAGCUAGCGUUGUUCGGAAUUACUGGGCGUAAAGCGCACGUAGGCGGCUAUUCAAGUCAGGGGUGAAAGCCCGGGGCUCAACCCCGGAACUGCCUUUGAAACUAGAUAGCUUGAAUCUUGGAGAGGCGAGUGGAAUUCCGAGUGUAGAGGUGAAAUUCGUAGAUAUUCGGAAGAACACCAGUGGCGAAGGCGACUCGCUGGACAAGUAUUGACGCUGAGGUGCGAAAGCGUGGGGAGCAAACAGGAUUAGAUACCCGUGUAGUCCCUGUCUCUUAUAC